This 215-nucleotide long non-coding RNA is filed under the name Salvia miltiorrhiza (redroot sage). RNAcentral's name for it is "long non-coding RNA (SMIL_LNC011266)". The record is from RNAcentral. Lineage: Eukaryota; Viridiplantae; Streptophyta; Magnoliopsida; Lamiales; Lamiaceae.
AGCUACCCUUUCAUCCUCUGCAACCCUCUAUCCACUCAAAGCCCAUAUGGGAUACGAAAAGGAACAUCAGCCACCCUAUAUGAGCUCACAUCAGCCACCCUAUAUCUGUAGACUACUCGAGUAUGAGCCAACAACACCACUUCUUGUAUUUCAGCCAUCAAGUCUCUCUUCUUCCCUCACUAACACAUGCCGAAGAAGCUGAGAAAGGGAGAGAG